Stegostoma tigrinum is the source of this 311-nucleotide long non-coding RNA. RefSeq lists it as uncharacterized. Lineage: Eukaryota; Metazoa; Chordata; Chondrichthyes; Orectolobiformes; Stegostomatidae. The transcript is spliced from 3 exons. The record is from RefSeq and is a predicted model, not a curated record.
CGGAAAGACUCCUGGAUCCCUGAUCAAUCUAGCAUGAUAAGAAUUGCCCUGUCAACAAAAUUCACUGGGAAAGAAAUAUCAAAGAGGAUUUUGCCACCAGGUUACUAAAGGUCCGAAGACAGCUGUUUCCAGCCAUUCUUCACAAGUGAAGUGCGGGCACUGGGAGAGGAAGAGUUUGCGCUCAUGAAGCUGAAAGGAAGCAAGAACUUGAUUGAGGUUGCUUGAUCCUUCAACCACCGAUUCAGAGUAGCUUUUUGGCAUCUUCAGCUUUUUCUUCGGAGACAGCUUUUCUCGAUUGAAGAGGUUUCUUC